AUGGUGGGGGUCUUCAUGCCUUCCUCUCCAUGGGGAUCUGUCUGUGCGCCGGUGCUGGCUGCUGGCCGCCGUGCUGGGGUGAGUACAGGGAAAAGUGGGGAGGGCACUGUGCGAGGGGAUGCGGCUGUGGCGAUGCCUCUUUUGGGGUUGGCAGCUGGCUUGCACUGCUGGGCUUUCAGCUGUGCGUGCACACAGGGGUUGGAGCCAAACAGGAAAAUGCGCCGUCCGCUUCUGUGCUUGCAAGAAAGAGGAUCUCAGCCUGGAGCCGGUGAAAGGGGAAGCGGCCAUCCCGUGUCUCCAUGCUGGCUUGCAGAGCAGGAUGUGUCCCCCGAGAGGCUCUUCCUGGAUGUGACUUGGUUCCCAUCACAUCCGCUCUGGUGUUUCGGGACCCUCCCGGCCCUGGUGGGGUACAUGGGGUGGUGGUGGUGUUUUGGGGUGAGUCAGGGGGUCUGGGGAGCAGCGUGCAGCAGGCGGGGCAUUGUGGGCGCGCUGUGUUGGGCCAUGCCAAGCCCGCGCUGCAUCUCGCUUUCUCCCCGGGUGCUUUUCCCUGCCGGGACGGGUCGUGGCAGUGAAACCGGCUGGGGGAGCCGGUGCUGUCCCUGCACCCAGACUGGGCAGGGCUGGGCUCCCACUCAUUUCUCGGCUCCUGCCCGCCAGCCAUCGCGCUGCCGACGUGUUGGUGCUUGCUGCACACACGUCCCUCCUCCUCCUCUGCCAAAAGCUCGGGCUGCUGACGGCUUUCACAAAGCGAGGAGCAGGGCCAGGGCUGCGCAUCCCCCAGGUACAGCGGGACGGCAGGUGGGCUUUGGAGAGCUGUGCACCCACGGUACAACACGGGACCCCCGGUCCCAGCAGUGCGCACAGCCCCAGUGGGAUGGGUGUGGGGCGGCUUUGCGCCAUGGCCACCGAUUCCCAAAGGCUGGUUGGGUUUCUGCACCCUGCUUGCAAGGCACGGGAACUGGGCGAGGGGGGAGUUCGCGCUGGGGUUGGUGUGGGGUGUGCAGGAGGGCACUGCGCCCUGUCCCACUGCAGGCAGCGCUGUCAGGGUGUGAGGGGCUGCGGAACGCGGCCCGGCCCCACGUGGGCAGCUCGGGUGGGUGGCAAAGUGCUGCCGGCACAGGGAGAGGCUCAGCACAGCCUCAGGCGUUUCUGCCACAGCCCACACACUUUCCUCUUCCAUCCCAGGUGAGUCCACGUCCCUUCUUUCCUUCACCUUACAUUCUUUCUUUCCUCCUUCCCCUCUUGUCCUCUCCCCCUUAG
Molecule: long non-coding RNA, 1260 nt
Filed under: Coturnix japonica (Japanese quail)
Lineage: Eukaryota; Metazoa; Chordata; Aves; Galliformes; Phasianidae
Description: lncRNA (ENSCJPG00005011944.1)
Source: RNAcentral